UUUAAAGUGUAAUGUAAGUCGCUUUGGAUAAAAGCGUCUGCUAAAUGACAUGUG
This is a non-coding RNA of Gasterosteus aculeatus (three-spined stickleback), 54 nucleotides long. The record is from Rfam. NCBI's taxonomy places the organism in Eukaryota, Metazoa, Chordata, Actinopteri, Perciformes, Gasterosteidae.